This 460-nucleotide ribosomal RNA is filed under the name uncultured bacterium. Its description in RNAcentral is "partial 16S ribosomal RNA". It matches the Rfam family "Bacterial small subunit ribosomal RNA", at positions 338 to 795 of the family's 1533-position model. The record is from RNAcentral.
CCUACGGGAGGCAGCAGUGAGGAAUAUUGGUCAAUGGGCGGAAGCCUGAACCAGCCACGUAGCGUGAAGGAUGACGGCCCUACGGGUGGUAAACUGCUUUUAUACGGGAAUAACGCGCCGUACGUGUAGGGCUUUGCAUGUACCGUAUGAAUAAGGCCCGGCUAAUUCCGUGCCAGCAGCCGCGGUAAUACGGAAGGUCCGGGCGUUAUCCGGAUUUAUUGGGUUUAAAGGGAGCGUAGGCAGCAUGUAAAGCGUGCUGUGAAAUGUCCGGGCUCAACCCGGGCCUUGCAGCGCGAACUGGCGUGCUUGAGUCCGCGGAAAGCAGGCGGAAUUCGUCGUGUAGCGGUGAAAUGCUUAGAUAUGACGAAGAACCCCGAUUGCGAAGGCAGCUUGCUGCAGCGGAACUGACGCUGAUGCUCGAAAGCGCGGGUAUCGAACAGGAUUAGAUACCCCAGUAGUC